Oncorhynchus tshawytscha (Chinook salmon) is the source of this 1298-nucleotide long non-coding RNA. NCBI's taxonomy places the organism in Eukaryota, Metazoa, Chordata, Actinopteri, Salmoniformes, Salmonidae. The record is from Ensembl.
AGGGGUUAGAGACACCAGUAUCAUUAUAGACAGACAGGGGUUAGAGACACCAGUAUCAUUAUAGACAGACAGGGGGUUACAGACACCAGUAUCAUUAUAGACAGACAGGGGGUUAGAGACACCAGUAUCAUUAUAGACAGAUAGGGGGUUAGAGACACCAGUAUCAUUAUAGACAGACAGGGGGUUCGAGACACCAGUAUCAUUAUAGACAGGCAGGGGUUAGAGACACCAGUAUCAUUAUAGACAGACAGGGGUUAGAGACACCAGUAUCAUUAUAGACAGACAGGGGUUAGAGACACCAGUAUCAUUAUAGACAGACAGGGGUUUAGAGACACCAGUAUCAUUUUAGACAGACAGGGGUUAGAGACACCAGUAUCAUUAUAGACAGACAGGGGGUUACAGACACCAGUAUCAUUAUAGACAGGGGGUUAGAGACACCAGUAUCAUUAUAGACAGACAGGGGUUAGAGACACAAGUAUUAUUAUAGACAGAGAGGGGUUUAGAGACACCAGUAUCAUUAUAGACAGGGGGUUAGAGACACCAGUAUCAUCAUAGACAGACAGGGGUUUAGAGACACCAGUAUCAUUAUAGACAGAGAGGGGUUUAGAGACACCAGUAUCAUUAUAGACAGACAGGGGUUUAGAGACACCAGUAUCAUUAUAGACAGACAGGGGUUAGAGACACCAGUAUCAUUAUAGACAGACAGGGGUUAGAGACAUCAGUAUCAUUAUAGACAGACAGGGGGUUAGAGACACCAGUAUAAUUAUAGACAGACAUGUGUUAGAGACACCAGUAUCAUUAUAGACAGACAGGGGUUAGAGACACCAGUAUCAUUAUAGACAGACAGGGGUUAGAGACACCAGUAUCAUUAUAGACAGAGAGGGGGUUAGAGACACCAGUAUCAUUAUAGACAGACAGGGGGUUAGAGACACCAGUAUCAUUAUAGACAGACAGGGGUUAGAGACACCAGUAUCAUUAUAGACAGAGAGGGGGUUAGAGACACCCGUAUCAUUAUAGACAGACAGGGGGUUAGAGACACCAGUAUCAUUAUGGACAGACAUGGGUUUAGAGACACCAGUAUCAUUAUAGACAGACAGGGGUUAGAGACACCAGUAUCAUAUUGGACAGACAGGGGGUUAGAGACACCAGUAUCAUUAUAGACAGACAAGGGGUUAGAGACACCAGUAUCAUUAUAGACAGACAGGGGGUUAGAGACACCAGUAUCAUUAUAGACAGACAGGGGUUAGAGACACCAGUAUCAUUAUAGACAGACAGGGGUUAGAGACACCAGUAUCAUU